RNAcentral lists this long non-coding RNA (1069 nucleotides) under Podarcis muralis (Common wall lizard). Its description in RNAcentral is "lncRNA (ENSPMRG00000011473.1)". The record is from RNAcentral. Lineage: Eukaryota; Metazoa; Chordata; Lepidosauria; Squamata; Lacertidae.
GUUCACACCAGGUUACUCCGAGUCUUUUGUUUGUUUGUUUGCUUCCCCGGUCAGACGCACUGCUUUGAGGCUUUAGGUGUAACCGAGGGAGCCCCAGGAGGCUCCGUCGAUGGAGAAGGCGAGCUGGGGGAGGCGAAAGGAAGCCCAGGUGCGAGGGAGGGAGGGGGCAGCCCGCUAAGAUCCCUUUUCCUUCCUGGGGAAACACCUCGGCGUCCCGCUCCUCCCCCCCCCCCCGCGAAUCGAGUCCAGGGAGAGAAAGGCUUGUGCCCUCGCAUUCUUUCGCUGCAGCGCGCGCACCCCGACACACACACACACACACACACGUUGGGCAGGAUUUGUCAGCAAAGUUUGCCCUCAGCGUGGCUGCCUCGUCUGUGGAGCUGCCGGGGAGAGCCCAGGAGGGAAGCGAGAGAGCGAGCGAAGGGCGGGCUGCGCUCCAGCGAGGCUUUCCCUUCCCCUCACAGACUGCAGUGCGAGCUGGGAAGGGAAUUGCCAAGCGAGAGAGAGAGAGAGAGAGAGAGAGCGAGCCUUGGUGCGCGGCCGCCGCUGGCCGCGGCGUCUCUCGUCUCGGGCCUUCUUCUCUCGGGCCACCUCAGGCAGCCGCGAGAGGCGGAUUACUCUGGCUGGUGUGUGGCUGCGCAAGGAGGUGUGCCGUGUGACUUCCCGCGCUGGGGUCAGCCCAGCUGCCUCCUCCGCCGCGGCAGGAGCGAAAAUGAAUUUGAAGGAAAAUUGGUGAAUCCAACCCAGUGGAUUUGGUAGACUUGGAGAACAGAGUCUGGACCAAAAAACAAUUAUCCUGCUAAACGAUUUCAGUAUCUACCAUGGGUAGAAUGAAGAGAAACCGGGUUGGAUCCAAAAUCUCAUGUGUGGAAUUCAACUCACAAAAAGGGAAUUCUUGGGACUGCCUGAAAAUAUGCUUUGGAGCGUGGUAUGGAGGGGGUAAGGACCCUUCAGAACAGCGCAGGAUCAUCAAAACCAUGGCGGGAAGCCUUCACUUUUGGAUUAUCUUUUUGACAGUGGACCACCCAUAAAAUUAUUAUCCUCCUACCAAAGCUGAUAGGAUGUGAAU